GUCUGUGGCUAUACCACCCUGAACACACCUAAUCCCAUCUGAUCUUGGAAGCUAAGCAGGUUCAGGCCUGAUUAGUACUUGGAUGAGAGAUCUUGGUGGGUUUUAGAUGGCUUCUUCUAACC
This 122-nucleotide ribosomal RNA is filed under the name Chlorocebus sabaeus (green monkey). Lineage: Eukaryota; Metazoa; Chordata; Mammalia; Primates; Cercopithecidae. The record is from RNAcentral.